Molecule: long non-coding RNA, 841 nt
Organism: Plodia interpunctella (Indianmeal moth)
Lineage: Eukaryota; Metazoa; Arthropoda; Insecta; Lepidoptera; Pyralidae
Exons: 3
Source: RefSeq, a predicted model, not a curated record
AUUAUUAAUUAUUACGAAACGAAUACUGAUACCGGUAGUUCUGAUUUUUUGUCCUCGUGCCUAAAAAAAGUAUCAAAUUUAAUAUUCUUGAUAUGUCCAUGAAAAUGUCAUUAUUCUGUGACAAAUCUGACUGAGAAAGACGCGUAUACGCUGAAAUAGCAUAAGAUAUAAAACUGAAGCACUUCUUCUUCGCCUGCCUCUUCUUCAAGAUUUAAGCUGACCCUGGGCUUCUAAGCGUCAUAGCCGUAGAUACAUCCGGACUCUCUGUGAAAGAGAGAAGAGGAAGCCAUACACUAUUAUAUACAUAUUGGAAUUAAUAAAGUAUGAACGUGGAGCACUUCAAAAAGGGCCUAGUAUUGCAGAUUGCAGAGUGCUUCAAAAUUGCCUCAGUCAUACAGUGGUAAACAAUUCUUAUAAUCCAGUGAUGUGGGGCAGAUCUAUCGGACUUCGAAGAAGAUAUUCACCCAAGUUUUAUUUACUGCUAAUAAUAUUUUGUUCACUUGUGUGUGUGUACUUCUUCUAUCCAGAUGAAGUACACGUGGUUCAAGUGUAAGUUUUUGUUUUAUUUAUGCUCUCCUUUGUUCAUCUUUUUCUUUGCGUGUCGACAGUAAAUCAACGCUCUAUUGAGUGCUAAAUAUAUUAUUGCCAGAACAGAGCCACUUCGGUCCAAACGUCUGUACUCGGGCUGACUUGUUGGCAGCUUCCGAUGAAGCCAUCAAAGUGGCUCGGUUCUUCCUUGUUUAUUUUCUUGGCUCCGUCCGCCGCCGCGCCGCCAUUGCUUGAUAAAUCGUAAUUAUAACGUGAUGUGAUCAUUAUAAUACGUGUGCCUAAAUUUAAUUAU